AAGUCGUAACAAGGUUUCCGUAGGUGAACCUGCGGAAGGAUCAUUAAUAAACGGCAAAGCUUUCGAGCCUAGCUUUUAUAACAUCUAUACACCUGUGAACGUAUUUGCCUUUGGGCAUAAACUUAGGCACAUAAUGUAAUGAAUGUAAUCUACUAUAAAUAAAUACAA
This 168-nucleotide unclassified non-coding RNA is filed under the name plant metagenome. RNAcentral's name for it is "partial contains small subunit ribosomal RNA and internal transcribed spacer 1". The stretch from base 1 to 46 matches the Rfam family "Eukaryotic small subunit ribosomal RNA", at positions 1786 to 1831 of the family's 1831-position model. The record is from RNAcentral.